Rattus norvegicus (Norway rat) is the source of this 13641-nucleotide non-coding RNA. The record is from RefSeq and is a predicted model, not a curated record. Lineage: Eukaryota; Metazoa; Chordata; Mammalia; Rodentia; Muridae.
AACAACAGGCCUAAAAACUGCAGUGUAAGGCGAUAUUCUAGGAUAAGUAGAAUCAUAAUCUUCCAGAACAUGUUCGUCUCCUAAUCCUGGAGCCCAGAUGCAAUGUUAUCUGGAAAGGGAGACUAUGUUUGUAAGUGGAAUUGUGAGCAAUGUUAGCUGACUUAAUGAUAGAUUAUCCUGGUUCUUCAGGUAGGCCCCAUAGAGUCAAAGGUGUCCUUAACCAUGAAGAGGGGUUUAGAAACAGUAGCAUCAGUGAUGUUCUAUGAGAAGGACUGAGAGCGAUUCCUAACUUUGAAGGCAGGAAGGAACUGUGAGUCAGCAUCUGAAGUUAGUGUCUGGAAUUAGAAAAAUCAAGGAAAUUUACUACCCCUAGGGUCUCCAAGAAGAAUGGAACCUUAGUUUUUGCCCAGUGACAAUUUUUCUUUGUCAUAUAGGAUAAGAAAUGGGAGUCGCCUUAAGCCAGCAAGUAUGUAGCAAUUGAUCACAGCAUCAACAGGAAAUUGAUACAAUCUUUAAUGGCUAAUAUAGUUAAUGAAUACAUUGAGUCUCUUUGAUAUAGGAAAAUAGCAUGGAGAUAAUCUAUGAUAACCUAUGAUGUGGUACUCAACUUAUUAACAGAAACAGAGAUAGGGAUGCAUGCAAGUGGAAGGCAAGAUGAAGAUCAACUAGCUAAGGUCCUUGGUUGCCAUGGUGAUAAUGGUAAGUAUCAAUAGUGUGAUGUAACCUGACCGCUUUCAUCAAUAAUUAAGGUUAUGCAUGGAUAAAUAGAUAAAUUGAAAGCAUUGGAAGGCUGACCAGGGCACAAAUAGGAAACUCAGAAAGUCUGUGUGAAGCCUCUCGAAAGUCGCUGCCUCCCCUGAAAAUGUUCCGUAGAGGUGAGGCUCGACCUAGGGUCUGAGCAUUAUGACAUCAGUGUCUGUCUUGCUAUGGAUCCCUAGGGAUUGCUGGCCAGCCAGUAUAGCUGAAAUGGAGAAUGGUGGGUUCAGUCGGAGAUCCUGUCUCAAAAACUAAGGUGAAGAGGGUAGAGGAAGAGCAGAUCCUUAAGACAUGAAGUGGAAACAUUUGGGCAAACACAGCGAGGCUAAGGCCUUUGAACAUCAACAGCAUCUCAAUCAGUAAUGACAAUGCAGGAAAGGUCUAGCAGAUAAUGGAUCGACUCUUCCCAGGGAUGAUGCCUGACAGACUUGAUAGACACAAGGCAGCCAGCGAACCUGCGUAAUGAUGGUUUCUGUGGAGAGAGAGGACUCCAGAUGCUUCCCAGAAGUGUGAGGAAUUAAUCUGCUGCCCUUAAAUGACCUCCGUGGAACCCUGCAGAAUCACCAUAAGCUGUGUACCCAUGCCACCUCUAGGGCCCCAGGACAGAGGUGAGGAUGUCAGCACAGGCUCAGAAAGCAUGAUUUAGGACCCAGCUUGGGGAUACUCCAGUGGAGGACUAGGAGGGUGUGGCUGGGGCAGGUUUUUAAGGUCAGCCUGAAUCAUCUCUGCUCUCUCUCUCUCUCUCUCUCUCUCUCUCUCUCUCUCUCUCUCCAAGGAUAUUUGUAUAAUCAAGCCUCUGCCAAGAGUGCAUAGUUCACUGUGGUUACUUCUUCCUCAACACUAAAUUCACAAGACACACACACUUAAAGGAGCUCACUAAAGAGAAUAGAAAAGGAGUUGAGACUCUUAUCAUAGGGUGACACAGGAGGAGGCAAGCCCAGGGUGCUAUGGGAAUAGGGGCCUCUUCCCACCUUCCUCCCUCUCUCCUUGGGAAUCGAUUACAGUCCGUGUUAGCGUGCUGCUUGGGUCAGGAGGGGAGAGAGCACAGGUCAUGAAUUCUGUUCCUCGUGGUUCUGUGACAGGCUCACACCGUAAGGCGUUGUCUGGCCAAAGAUGCUGACAAGGUGAAGUUUGAGAAAUGUUGCUUUAAUAGAAUUCCUUCAGUCUGCAGACUCCACACCCAUCCGCUCCAAACGGUGCUCUGUUACUGCCUCUCAGGUAGUCUCCACUUCAGCUUAGCCGAGUGCCUGGCUGGUGUAGGAUACAGGAAGAGGGGAAAGGGUACCGUCAGCAUCUGUUGCAAUAACCUGUCACGGCCAGCAGAGGAGCUGAGGCAGCAGAACAUGAUGGGAGGAAUUUCUGUGCCAAAGAUGGGCCCCUUCAUCAGAAGCCAGGAACUCAACGGGAAUUAAAAGCAUGAUGUAAAAAGAAAUUGCUUUCUGGCUCCAGUUUCUACACUCUGGAGAGAGGAGACCAUGGAAGGACUAGGGGGUAAGCCUGAGUGGCCAGAGAAUCCUCUGGGAUUGGGGCAGGAGAAUCUGUCCACAUGCUCUCCCACAGGUUAAAGGAAAACAGGCAGGAACUCAGGGCUGGUUCUGCUUGCUUCCUUCUCCUCUGGGCCUCCUUCUCCAACCCAUAAGCCUCGUAACCAGUGUCCCUAGUGUCUCCUCAUGAGAUUGUCAGACAGCUGAGAGGACUGGCCUGUCAGGAGGACCAUGAGGUGAGAGGAUCUGGAAGAGGUGACUCAGAAUUGUUGGGAAAACCAAAACCAGUCAGUCAGUCUGGGCUGGAAGCAUGGCUUGGUUGAAAAUGGCUCCUUCAAGGUACAUGUUCCCACCAACAUGUGCUCUAUGACUCUGCUAAGUCAAGGUCUCACUCAAGCCCCAUUCAAAGCCACUCUACAUACACGUAUUACUUGUAAAAUACAGUAAUGAAGAGUCAAGACAUCUCUGUGGAGUUCAGAAAAAGUCUUGAUCGGAUCCUGGAGUAACAGAAGUCAAAUUCUCAUUGGAAACAACAAUCAGUGCCAUGUUCCUACAUCCAAUUCAUUAUCGAAGAUGGCAUCACCCAUCCUCGAGGUGUGUUACAUGGGCUUGUUUCUGCAGAAGUAUCAACUUUGAACACCUCCAAUGUUGUUGUAAAAAUAUAAAAAAUAAAAAAGGUGUUGUUGUCUUUUACCUCACUAGGUCCGCACAGUGGUGCCCCAAGAUAUCUGCUAGAUAUCUUGGCGGAAACACAUCCCAGCCACACACUUUCCUACACUCAAAUCCUCACACAAAAGAACACACAACACAAUAAUCUUAGAUCCAAUUGAUAAGAUACAAUUGCCCACUUAAACAUACAAAGCCCGAUACCAUCCAUCCCUUGAGAACAUUAAUAACAACCUGUAAAUACACAGAGCAGAAUCUUAACAUCACCUGCCAUGGCUUCUCUCCCCCUCCUCUGUCCUGCCUCUCCUUUCUGUUCUAGUCUCCUCCUCUUCCUUCAAACUUCUUUCCCGCCCAUCCUUCCUUCUCCUCCAAUGACAGGCCUUCUUCUAUCCUGUACCUGCCCCUCACCUGUACUUUACAAAUUCAAUGGGGAGGUUCACCUGAUUCCUGAGUACCUGACUAGGCAGCUGUCCUUGGGGCAGUGGAAUUAACAUCAAAAUACAGAUAACUUCAGGGCAAACCACAACACUCUGAACUCUCACUUAUUCAUGGUGCCUAUCUUACCGGGUGGUUUGGUGCCCAGGGACUCUGGUAGGAGGUGGUACAACCUCGAAAGUGCUAGUAGCACAGACAAAUUUACACCACAACUUGCAACACUGUCUUAGAAGUCCUUUUACCUUUUGUAUCUAUUAACCCAGGAAUAAAUAGCCUUCCAUUUUGAAGGGAGAGAAAAGUUGUUCACAUUGUGUUGUUCAUGUUAAGGGCACCGUCUUGAAUAAUUUUUGCCGUUGUUCUGGUGUUUACUCUUUGAAUGGCUGUCAGAGUCAAUAUUAUUUGGCCAUAUUGCAGAAGAGGAGACCAAGACUCUCGAUACUACUGUAAUAAUUGAGUAAGAGUUUUGCACGAAUGUGUGUGUGUGUGUGUGUGUGUCUGUGUGUGCUAGUGCAUGCAUGUGCAUGCACACCCAUGUUCAUGUUCAUGUGGGUGUGCAUGUGUAUGUUCAAGGCCAGAGGUUGGAAUCAGGUGUCUUCCUUCUUUAAAUUUUAUUUUACUUUAUUAGUUUGUUGAGAUAUUGUUUCUCACUGGCCUUGUAGGUCACUGAUUGUCUAGAUUGGGUGUCCAAUGAGCUCUAGGGAUCCUCCUAUGUCUGUUCCCAUCAAGUUCUAGGAUUAUAGGCGUGUGCUGCUGCACCUAGAUCUUAUGUAGAUACUGGAGCUCCAGUCUCGGGGCCUCAUGCUUGCACAGUGUGCACCUUAUGAACAGAGCCGUUCCCCCCAGAGCAGGGGCUCUCAACCUUCCCAACGCUGUGACCCUUUCACACAGUUCCUCACAAUGUGGUGACCCCCAUCCAUAAAAUUAUUUUUGCUGCUACUUCAUACCUGUAAUUUUGCUACGUUAUACACCAUAACGUAAAUAUCUGAUAUGCAGGACAUUUGACACAUGAGCCCUGUGAAAUGGUCAUUCAGCUCCUCAAGGGAGUCUCCACCCACAAGUCAAGAAGUGCUGCUCUAGCCCCUUGAGCAGUUUUUGUUUUGUUUUUAAUUCGGUGCCUUCUAUAUCAGGAGCUGAGCUGUACUCAGCUGUACAGGAAAUGAAUGCCACACCAUUCCUGUAGGACAUACACUUAGUCACUUAUUAGAAAUGUUAGACUGGAGGUGAGGUCUUUGAGGGCUUUCUGUGGAGCUAGGAACAAUGUCACAGAGAUGUGACACCAGUUGAAGGAACAGGGGUCUUCCAGUCACCCUGUCUCACCAGUGCCCGAAUCUUGUCCUGUUACACAGUGAGGACUCCAGUUUCCAUGGAAACUCCCCACAGUCUAAUUAGACUACAGUUUAUAAAUUUAAAUCAGGGAGAACUUGACAUUCUCUGCUGCACGAUGGAGAUUUCUUGCUGUCGUGUGGCUCAUGAGGACAUUUGGGAGGAGACCCCAGAACAGGAUUGAUUAAAAACAGGUUACCAGAUAGGUGUCGCCACCGACAUGGGGUGCCACAUGGGCAAUGGAGUCAUCUAUGUCGUCCACCAACCCUACCUAAUCUAUAGGUACUUUGAAAUCUCAGCAGCCUGGAGGGCAUUUCUAGAACAGUCAUGGAGGAGAGAUUACUGUUUAUUGGUAGGGAACUAGACAGUUUUGUGAAUGUGGGAGGGACCUCCUCUAAGAUUUCUCCAGUUAUCAGUUGACAUUGAAAGGAAGAUGUUUGAGAAAGCACAUAGUAGGCCCAGGUGUUACAUGGUGGCAAUUGUCAUCACAGAGUGGGACUUUCCUAUUGUGACAUUCUCCAGGUACACAUUGCUGUAUCACUCAUCUUAAAGGACAUCCAAGUGUGCUUCUUAUCCCGGUGGGUUACUCUGAAUGAAAUGUGACUUCAAACUAAGGUCUUUAAUAUAAGCAUUGUCCAGUGCAAGAAAUCAGCAUGUGGCCAACAGCUACAUGCUUACAUGAGGCCUGGGGACCCUUGCUCUACAAAAUGAAGGAAAAACUACCCCCACAGGACUUGCCUGGGGACCUUACGGAAUAUUAAUGUGGCAGGUUCAUAAUAGGCAAUAUAGUUCAUUUUAAUUAGGAUCCCACAGCCCUAGAAAUUAAGUUGGAAUAGAUCUGUGAGUAAUCUGGCCUAUCACCUUUCAUGGCCCCACUCCCCUGCAAGAUUGUUCCCUGGGGCAGGCUCACUAGCUCGGGACUCAGUCUAAAUUCAAAUGACUGCAGCUAGGAGGUUUACAUCAUCACCCUUGGGAAACUAUCACACAGUCUAAUGGAUUUCACCGUGAUUACCUCCCUUCCCCCCAGCGAUCCAUCCCAAAUUUCUCUAUGUUUAAAUCUGUCUCUUUUCUUCUUAUGGUGUAUCGUCAGGUUAGGAAAAAGUCACGAAGAACAAUGUAAAUAGCCAAGAUUUCACCUUCUGGUCUCUAGCACCAAAAUGGGAUUGGUCCCGAUGGUCUCUGUUUAGAAUGUUGUAGGCAAACUGAACACCAUUGCCUUUUAUACUCACAUAUGAUCGUUCCCUUUUCUUGGGAAAGCAGUUCUGUGUUUGCAGUCAUGAUAAAGGCAUGCUUGACAUGAUUCACUCCGCCCUGUCCCUCUGAUCUCCCUCAGAAACAACAGCACAUCGCCCAGGACGAGGUGCUCUCUGCAUUUGGAGAACAGAGGAAAAACAUUCUCACUUUGGGAGCAUGGAACUGAUGAUUCAGUCUUUCUUAAUCGCCUACCAACCAGCCAAGCUACCUGAUCAUAUUGCAAGUCCUCGGGUGACACCAGAACUUUAGACCUUCAAGUUGAACAAGAAAGACUGGGUCUUUUCCCUGUCACAAUGCUCUCCCUCUCGUAUGUGCAAACAGAGAGGCAGGAACCAGUAGAAACUAGAGGAAAGAUAGCAGCGGGGGUGUAGAGAAAGCACUUGUAUCAGCAUCCCCUAUUUAUAACACAUAAUGGAGUCUCAAUACAUGGCCGGUCUGCAACUCAUUAGGUCUCCUUAAUUAAAGAGGAUGGCCUCCUGGCGGCUUUAUUUCCUUGGGUUUGCAUUUGAUGAUUAUGAUCACCACAAUAUGAACGAGACGGUCAUGUCCUGUUCUGAGAGAGGACCAUUCUUCUGAGGGGCAAUGAUGCUGGGAAAACACUAAUGAGUUCGGAGCAUAGCCGCGGUCAAAUCGCAGCUCCCGACUGACCCACAAGCUAGGUUUCCUGACACAGUCCUCCUGAGUGAUUGUGCAAAGUGUAACUGUGGCAGAGCAAUCAGAUAGGAAGGAAACGAUGCUCUACGGUGUCUGAAUGAUGACAAGAGCAUAGUGUGCAGAUGACCACACACCUUUCUAUCUUGUUGCAUCUACUUCUGGACUCUUGGCCUUCAUCCACUGCUGUGUCUCUUACACUUCCUCCUACGUCAGGCUUGCCUUUCAUCUUUGUUUAUGGCCUAUUUCAGUAAAAGGUAAUUUAUUUAUGUUUAUGUAUGUGCAUAUACCACUGCUGUCUCCAGACACACCAGAAGAGGGCAUCAGAUCCCCAUCACUAAUGGUUGUGAGCCACCGUGUGGUUUCUGAGAAUUGAACCCAGGACCUCUGGAAGAGCAGUCAGUGCUCUUAACCGCUGAGCCAUCUUGCUAGACCAGACUUUGACUUUCAUGUAAACCUUUUCAAAUGCAUUUAGACUUGGGUUCUGUGCCGUGUGUGGCCUCUUCUUAGUUCAUCUCUUCCUUGCUUUACAAUACCGGAUCUUCACUAAUGUGUUUUGUGCUGCCCGUUGUCCUCCAUUUUACUUAUAAACAAGUUCUAUCUGAUUUAAUUUCUCUAAAAUCUAACGGUAUGUGUCAACUUGAUUGGAAAAUGGGUGCCCAGGUAGACAGUAAAAUAUAAUUUCUGGAUGUGUCUGUGAAGAUGUGUUCUAGGAGAUGGAAGCAUUUGAAUCAGCUGACUGAGUAGAGAUGAGCUGCCCUUUGCUAUGGGUGUCAUCCAAACCAAGGACGUAAACAGAGCAAGAGGACAGGUGUAAGUGAGAGAAAGGGACUUUGCCUUGCUGGGUGGGGGGCCCAGUUCCUGCUGCCUUUGGAUGAUGGUGUUUCAUGUUGUAAAGCCUUUCUGAGCCUUGGUUUGUGAGUAGCAGGUUUCAGGACUUCUCAGUCACCAUAAUCCAUGAGCCAAUUCCUCUUACUAGAUGCUGUAGCGGUAAUCUGGCUAACCACUCUGUGCUCCCGACAGGUGCGUGCACCAGUUAAUUUUAAAUAUGCCUUGACUAGCUCAAAGGCUGGGCAGUUCUAAUCCUCCCCACCGCUAGCAAACGAUUCCCCCGGUACUCCUGACUUAAUGCCCUCUAAUUUAUAUUUUAUCGUUGUUGUCCUAGCUCCUUCUGGGUGGCCCCCUAAUCUUUGCUGCCUAGGACGCUUCUGAGCAGCUCUUCUUACCUACAUUUCAGAUGAUUUUACUUCUGCAGCUCUAAAUCUGAUCGGUCUCCUUCUGAAUCAUGGUGAUUCUCCCCUCCUUUCACCCACGCAAUCUAAAGGUCCCACCUCAGUCUACCUGUCCAGCCAUUGGCCAUUGGCUCUUUACUGAACAUAAAAAAAAAUGGAGACAGGGAGCUUCAGCGUUUGGACAUGCAGAUUCCCAAUUUGGGGGUGGUGGUGGUGGUGGAUAAAUCAAAGCAUUAGAACCAAUCCUCAAUAUCUCACAUUUUCUGUCCAAUUUUUUUUUUUAAAAAAGGAAGGCUCUUCUCUCAGAUAUAGAGCAUAACCAUAACAAUUGUGUAAAUUACAAAGUAUGACAUACAAUUAACAUAUUUGUAAAUUAGAUAAAGUAUAAUCUAUACUCAAAUUGUUUAUAUUUUUGCCUGUAUCAUCAUCUGAAAACCAUCCUUUUAACUCUGUAUCAUCUCCCUCAAUGCUAAACAAUUUGAGUUUGAUUAUGAGACUAUAACUAGUCUUCCACCCCACCAGAAACCCAAGAAUGAAUUCUAUAUUACCUGAAUAUUUAGGAAACACAAAAACAUAGCUUUUCUGAGCCUUGGUUUGUAAGUGGUAGGUUUGAGGACUUCUCAGCCUCCAUAAUCCCAUGAGCCAAUUCCUCUUAAUAGACACCACCCCCUCAUCUAUGUAGGCCUCACUGGUUCUGUUGUUCCAGAAAACCAUGACUAACCCAAAUAUUGUAAGAAGUCCUGGUGUCUCGUGAGACAAGUCUACCUUGUUAUUUUUCCAAAAUUGUCCCCCAUUAUCCUUUGUCCUUUGAUUUUCAUAUAAAAAAUUGAUUCAGCUCUUCCAGUGGCAUAAGGGUAGGGAUAAAGAUAUCAUAAGAUUAUAGGAUUAUAGACACUUGAGCUGACUUACGCUGCUACUUUGAGAUGCUACUAAAUACACUAAAGAACGAGUUACCUGUGCUAACUCACUUAACACCAUGGUAUUCUGGGAGGUGGGCACUUGUCAUUACCCCCUCAGUUCAGACGAUGGGAGUGGGGGAUGGGAGGAUUAAGUAAUUUAACUGGGAUUCUAGAUUACAAGGCAUUUAGCGCACAGGCUUAAAUCCAUUGUCAUGUGAGAUUACAUACCCAUAAGUGGUAUCUCUGAUGCCAAAUGAUUAUAUAUGAGCUCAACACUAUGUAUAAUUCAGAGCUUCUCUGGGCAUUCAAAAACUCAAAAACUGUAGUGCAUUCACUAGCAAGGUGAGUAAUUUAAAAUCAUUAUCAAAUCAUGUCACCAAAGAAGACACUAAGGCACAGAGGGUACAUGCUCUAAUGCCCUUUACAAAUCCUACUGCAGAAGACUUAACCUGAACAUGCGGGGAUGAAGAACUUCCCCACAUAACAGCUUCCUCUUCCACUCCUCAUUGUUUUCUGAGCUGACAGCUCUUAGCAGACAAUUGGAUAAUACAACCAAACAGCACAGGGUACUCCUGGUCCCAGGGCAAAGACCUUCGCCUUCCAUGAAGCAUGGAGCUGUUGCGGUAUAAUUAAAAAAGGUUUCUCUUAUUCCACACUAGUGCUGGCACCGUAGGGCCACAUGGCAUCUGUGAAUAUUUUCAUCUCAGUCAGCAAAGCGUCUCACCCACUAAGCUCCAUCCCAUCACACUGCUGAUGGCUACUCUCUGAGCCCAGCGAUAAUCUCUCUACCCAUCUAGUUCCCAAGGCAGGUUGUCACCAUGCCAGAAAUAUACAUGCCAAUUCUGUGGUGGCCCAGUGUCCUGCCACCACACACUCUCUUGAACUCAAUUAAAAUCACCACAUGAAAGAACACACCACAAGAUAACCUCUGAUCUAAUUGUUAAGAUAUAACUGCCCACCUGAAUAGGAUGUAGUUUGCUCAUCUAGACAUACAAAGCCCUGUACAGUCCAUCCCUUAAGAAUAAUCAUAACAACCUGUAAAUGUACAGAGAGAAAUCUUAACAAACAUCCGCUGCCAUGUUCUUUCUCAGCUGCUCCCUUCUCCUCCAGUUUCCUCCUCCUCUAAAACUUUUCUCCCGCCCAUCCUUCCUUCUCAUCCAAUGACAGGCCUCGCUCUAUCCUUUCACCUGCAUAAUGACACCAUCCUACAGGAACUAAGCAAAUGGAAACAUACCUUGAGAUGGCUAAGUUGGUAAAGUGUUUGCUAUGCAUGAGAAACUGAGUUCAGAUCCACAGGACCCACAUAAAAAGCAGGGCGCAGCAACGUACCCCAGUAAUGCUACCAGCAUUGAGGUGGAGACACAAAGUCCCCCAGGGGGUGGUUAACUAUCUAGCCUAGCUUAAGGGACAAGUUCCAGGCUCACUGGGAGACUCUGUGAAAAGCUAGGGUUGGAGAAUAGUUAUGGUGGGCACCUGAUGUCAAUCUCUGACCUCUACACGCAUGGAUACCCGGGCACAAGGUGUGCAAGCACUGGCACACAUGCAGCCUGUGGUCUCUGGGAUGCACAGUGACACUUUCGCUGAUAUUAAAACUUACUGGUGGUACAGAAUGUGGCACCACCUAAGAGAACUCCCUCACCUGUGAUCCCUGCCAAUCAACAGGACAUGUACGUUUCCUAGGAAGUCUGUGAGAAAAGCUGCCAGUCUGGCGACGCUGAGAGUGAGCCUGCCGGAGCAGAUUACAUGGACAGCAAUUAAAAAGCAAACAUUGGUUAGGAGCUGUCGAGUGAGCCAAAGAGAAGUGUGUCAGAAGGAGCUGCUUGCCAACUCCAGCUGCUGGUUAGAGUUCGCAGUGUUCUGUACAAAUCUCUUCUAGGCCUCCUGUGUGCCCACUGACUUUGCACAAGCCACUCCGAGUGGCUCUGUUUCAUUAUCUAUAAGUGGCGCUCUCCAUGAGGAAAGGGAAUGAGCCUGGACUGAAGGAGCUUAAACCUGAGGAUGGCAGAGGUGCACCACUUCUGGGUGCACAGAUGGUGAGGUAGCAGUUAGGGAGGGGUCACAGGAUGAGUUCAGUAGAACAUUCGCUGGAGUCCUUGAGAGCUGUAUUCUCUACACCGUUAUCUGCUAGGCACCUUUGGCAACUCGUGUAACUAAAGAGUGUUCAUUCAGGAAAGUUACAGAGAGUUGUGAAACAUCUAGGGGAAGAGAAGUCGCAUGUUACAGUAUCCUUGCUGAAAGUCAGAGAGAGGAGAGAGAGGAGAGAGAGGAGAGAGAGGAGAGAGAGAGAGGAGAGAGAGAGAGAGAGAGAGAGAGAGAGAGAGAGAGAGGAGAGAAAGAGAAGAGAGAAACAGAGAGACAGAGAGAGACAGAGACAGAGAGACAGAGAGAGACAGAAACAGACAGAGAGACAGAGAGAGACAGAGACAGAGAGACAGAGAGACAGAAACAGAGACAGAGACAGACAGAGACAGAGGCAGAGAGAGACAGAGACAGAACAGACAGAGAGAGACAUUACUUUCUUCAGGCUCCAUUGGAAGAGACAGUAAAAUAUACAGAAAUUUAAAACACACCUGUUUUGUGGAAGUCUAUAAUAAAGAGGACUAUAAUGGUCCUCUAUUUUCUGGAGUUAGAGUCCAAACCCUCAACUAGUAGCUGCAUGAGACUGUGGAUAGAUAUAUAUUCUGCUUGCUGUACAUCCUGUGCAUACCUAUGGCAAGGUUUAACUUGUAAAUUAGACACAGUAAAUGAUGGAAAUAAUAAAAUACAGCAGUUAUAAUGUUAUUAGUUGUAUGAGCAUACUCUCUGUUUCUGGGGUUUCUUGUCCUCCUUGUCAUAUAAUGCUAUGGGAUGGCACAGUUCCUAGGUAAAAGGAUGAAGGCAGGUCACUGUGACAUUAAGCUACCACAUACUGGUCACUUGACCAUAAGCACUGUGAUAUUAUGACAGUUGGUCUUGUAACUGAGCAGCUACUAAGUAACUAUUGGGAGAAUAGCACAUACAAUGUGGAUACACUGGAUAAAAGGAUGAUUGACAUCCCGAGGGGGAUGGAACUGAGCCGCAUAAGACUUUAAUACACAAUAAUGAGUGGCAUACAAUGUAAAACUAGCACAUUUUUAUUUCUCUGAAUAAACUAGUGACUUAUUUGAUAUUUAAUAUCUUCAGAACAUGGUUGACCUCUGGUAACUGAAAUAAAAUCAUGGAGAAGAGCCACUGUGAGGUGGCAGAAGAAGGAGGGUGUCACACUAAGUUACAGUUGGUACCGGAGCCAGUGGUGGAGGGACAAGCGGAGGAGGCACGGUGGAAGACUUAUUCAUAUAUGUGGGGACUGGAGUUUAUGCACUCAAAGAUGACAACCCUGGUGGGAGAAGACAGGCCCGAGAGUGAAAGGCCAGUCUUCUGCCCUGGCUCUGCCAUCUCCUGAGAGCAAGAUGGAAAGUGAUCCCUGAAACCCCGCCCACUUUGAGGGCAAGAUGGAAAGUGAUCCCUGAAACCCCGCCCACUUUGAGGGCAAGAUGGAAAGUGAUCCCUGAAACCCCGCCCACUUUGAGGGCAAGAUGGAAAGUGAUCCCUGAAACCCCGCCCACUUUGAGGGCAAGAUGGAAAGUGAUCCCUGAAACCCCGCCCACUUUGAGGGCAAGAUGGAAAGUGAUCCCUGAAACCCCGCCCACUUUGAGGGCAAGAUGGAAAGUGAUCCCUGAAACCCCGCCCACUUUGAGAGACCUGACUUGGCCAUGCUCCAUUUUUCAGAGAAAAAUGUCUUGACCUUUAGGAAAGAGUAACAGGAAGGAAGCAGUAAAAACCAGAUGCCUCGGUUCAGGUGGGAAGCAGGGAGAUAAUGUGGCGAUUUGUGCCGCCAGGUGAAGACUUCUAGCUGAGCUUCCCUGCAGACCAGAAUUAUAAACCUGAUCUCACAACUGUCAACCAAAACAGCCCUUCUGAGCUGCCCACUGACAGGCUGCUCCAUGGCCUGUGGCUUCUAGCAUGCUGAUUUGGACCCCAGGAGAUGUCUUUAAAAUCAAAACAAAGCCAUUCCUCAGAAAAUUGGACAUUCCACUACCCAAGGACCCAGCUAUACCUCUCCUGGGUAUACCCAAAAGAUGCUCUAAUAUACAACAAAACACAGGCUUCACUAUGUUCAUAGCAGCCUUAUUUAUAAUAGCCAGAAGCUGGAAAGAACCUAGAUGCCCUUCAACAGAGGAAUGGAUUAAAAAAAUGUGGUACAUCUACACAAUGGAGUACUACUCAGCUAUCAAAAACAAUGACUUCAUGAAAUUCAUAGGCAAAUGGAAUGAACUAGAAAAUAUCAUCCUGAGGUAACUCAAUCACAGAAAAACACACUUGGUAUGCACUCAUUGAUAAGUGGAUAUUAGCCAAAAGGCUCAAAUUACCCAAGAUGCAAUUCACAGACCACAGGAAGCUCAAGAAGAAGGAUCACCAAAAUGCCGAUGCUCCCACUCCUUCUUAAAAGGGGAAAAAUAUCCAUAGGAGGGGAUAUGGAAGCAAAGUUUAGAGCAGCGACUCAAGGAAAGGCCAUUCAGAGCCUGCCCCACAUGUGGCCCAUAUAUAUAUAUACGGCCACCAAAACUAAAUAAGAUUGAUGAAGCUAGAAAAUGCAUGCUGAAAGGGACCAGAUAUAGAUCUCUCCUGAGAGACAGAACCAGAGCAUGUCCAAUACAGAGGUCAACACUAGCAGCAAAUCACUGAACUGAGAACAGGACCCCCUUGGGGGGAAUUAGAGGAAGUAUUGAAAGAGUUGAAGGAGUUUGCAACCCCAUAAGAACAACAAUGCCAACCAACCAGAGCUUCCAGGGACUAAACCACUACCGAAAGACUAUACAUGGACUGACCCAGGGCUCCAACUGCAUAUGUAGCAGAGAAUAGCCUUGUUGGGGCAUCAGGGGAAGGGGAAGCCCUUGGUCCUGCCAAGGUUGGACCCCCAGU